Molecule: ribosomal RNA, 497 nt
Filed under: uncultured bacterium
Lineage: Bacteria
Description: partial 16S ribosomal RNA
Rfam family: Bacterial small subunit ribosomal RNA
Source: RNAcentral
GAUGAACGCUGGCGGCGUGCCUAAUACAUGCAAGUCGAGCGAACGGACGAGAAGCUUGCUUCUCUGAUGUUAGCGGCGGACGGGUGAGUAACACGUGGAUAACCUACCUAUAAGACUGGGAUAACUUCGGGAAACCGGAGCUAAUACCGGAUAAUAUUUUGAACCGCAUGGUUCAAAAGUAAAAGACGGUCUUGCUGUCACUUAUAGAUGGAUCCGCGCUGCAUUAGCUAGUUGGUAAGGUAACGGCUUACCAAGGCAACGAUGCAUAGCCGACCUGAGAGGGUGAUCGGCCACACUGGAACUGAGACACGGUCCAGACUACUACGGGAGGCAGCAGUAGGGAAUCUUCCGCAAUGGGCGAAAGCCUGACGGAGCAACGCCGCGUGAGUGAUGAAGGUCUUCGGAUCGUAAAACUCUGUUAUUAGGGAAGAACAUAUGUGUAAGUAACUGUGCACAUCUCGACGGUACCUAAUCAGAAAGCCACGGCUAACUACGUG